GUGCACAGGCGGAAGCGGAGGAGGGCGGGGGACGCCAGGCCUAAAGCGCCUCGUGGGUUUAGAGAACUCAGAGAGGGCACCGGGUGGGGGUAGGGGGAAGGCGCAACCCGUAGCUAAAUGUUUGGCCUUUGGCUAUUUUUUAAGGAAACGAAUCUCAGGGAGGUCGAGGCGCGGGGGGUGGGGGCAUCAUCGCGCCUCGGAGAGGGAGGCGAGUUCCCCUCCGCUUUCUGGGAAAAGCCUUGUCCCCCUUCUUUCCCCUCCCCCCAUCCUGCUGAGGGUUUGCGUCGACCCAUCUCUCCGCUCGGGACCGGCAGGAGGACGGAGCCGCAAGGGGCUGACCGCGGCCCAGGGGUCGCGCAGCUGCCGGCCUGCGCUUCCGCACUCCCGGGUUCGGUGCGUCGCCUCUCGCGGCAGCGCCUCGCUUCCUCCAGACUGUAAUUCCACACUCCCGCAAGCGCUGGGGCUGCGGAAUCGUUUGAGGGAGUUGGAACUGCAUCAGAUGAGCACGCCGGAAGACACGAAAAUUGGACACGUGGAGAAUUAGCCCUGCUGGAGAAGCGCUGGGUGCAGACUCAAACAAUGGUUUCCAGCGCCGAAGCUGAGGCAGCACCUUCCCCACCUCCACCCUCAAAUGGCAGCUGCCUCUAUAUACAGCGGGCACACCCCUUCACUACCCACCCCCUCCCCUAGAGCCUGGUUAGGGACCUACGUGGGCUGCACGCUCUGGAUCCCCUUGCCCGGACACAAACCCUAGGUGGGCCUGGGCUGCCCGCUGAGUAGGUCAUUGCGCCUGGGAUCCCUGGGAUUUAGAAGUAUAGGGCUCUCUAUUUUUCCCUAGGAAGGUCCUGUCUCAAAGAUACUACCCCCAAAAAUUAACGUGUAAAAACCCAACCAAGCUCCAGGCUCUGUGUCCUUUGGCAAAUCUAUCUUUCCUAGGGCAUACUUUCCUAAGCUGCUGGGACCUUGCCCCCCAUCUGAUGAGCCAUACCCAGGUGGUCUGGCCUCUUCAGAGCAGCUUCCUUUAGCUAUUGUCUUCUCCAGAGGCCCCAUCCUCCACGGCAGCCCUAACCUUUGCCCCCCCAGUCUCUCUGAGUCCCCACCCCACCCCCACACUGCGCUGAGCUGGCAGCAGCCACAGCUCCCCCAGGCAGUUCCUCUCUCGCUGCGCGGCCUGUGCAUCUCGCUGGGGCACACACUCCACACAGAAGCUCCCUCGCCUCCUGGAGCUGGUUUCCUCUUACAGGCUCCCCUUAGAGCUGCUGGGGCUGUGGCAACGCCUGCAUCUCUGUGUCUCCCUGCAGCGCUGCGAGCUGUGAAUCUGCUUUCUCUUCCAUUCCUGCAAAGGUCAAGCUGCCUCCUUCUCUCGCAGGGCCGCAGUUCAGUUCUGGCCUGCAGAGCUUCUACACUGCAACUUGAAUAUGGGAAUAGAGUGGGCAUCGUGCAAGGGAGCAGUCACACUCAAGCCAGGAGGCAGGGACAAAAGGGUGUGCGAUUCAGGGAGGGAAACACUGAGGACAACCCUCAGAAAGCAGUGCAGGAUUUGCAGCUGAAGACUCAAAAGAGGGAGAGAAAACCAACAAAAGGCUGUUAUUAGGUCGUGAGUCCUGAAGUGUAGGCCUUUCUCCUCCUACCUCUUUGGUUGCCCUAGGGCAAGGCCCGAAGAGGCCUCAGGUGUCUGCAGUGUCCUGUGCAGUUCCUAGGGCCAUGCACUUCCGGUGAGGCUGCACUUUACUCCAAGCAGGAGUCAGAAGCAUGGAAUUCAGUGGCCGCAGGAGCUCAAGUCGGCUGCAGCCCUUUCAAAGAGGGACCCCGAAGAGGCCUUUCUGCCACCCCACCCCCAGAGAGGCUAUGAGGCUCUACAAGCAGCAGAGAGAAUGAUGUGGAGAAAAAUGAGAGGAAACGCUAUUAAACUUGCUUCCUCUAAAGAGCGCUACCCACCGUUUUCUCUGAACUGUACCUAAAAAGUCAGGAGAGAACUCGUUAACUUUUGUUUGGUUUAGCAUUGCCAGCUUCAAGUCAACCGUAGGCCCCCCGAAGGUUUUGUAAAAUAUUUAAUCUAGCUCAGACAAUUUCCUGCAGUCCCUAACCAGACCACCCCACUUACUGAGCCGCUGCCAAAAAGGAUGCUUGACUGCAGACUGGCAACCAGAGGCCUUCCAGUCGCCUGGCUGGCCUUGACCUCCACUCGAGGCGCCAGGAAAGACCCUUCCCGGAAUCCAGAGAGACCAAGACCUGGGUAACCCUGGAGGUCUAAACCCGUGAGGAAGCCCAAGAAAUGGAGUUAAAGACCCUUUUCACACAACCGAUUGUUGUCUGUGUGACCUUCUGCGGCUCUUGCCCUCUCUGAACCCUCUAAAAUGGGCAUGAGGAUGUCUCACCUUCCUCUGGGUGUUAUGCAUUUUGAAGCGUGGGCACUAUGGGAGAGGCUGACGCUCUGUGUUCCCCAGCGCCCUCCACUCCCACCCCUUCACUGUUUUCUUCGACAUUAUCUCCCUAGAGAACACAGCAAGCAGGAGCGGGAUCCUUCGACUCGGCUGAGUCUCAACUCCUUCCAAACGUGAGGCUGACGGGGAGAACUCCUGCUCUGCCCAUUUUCCAUUCCCGCCUCCAGAAUAACGAGCCGAAAACAUGUGUACUGUAAAUAAAGCCUGUCUAAAUAAAGCACUCGGGUAAAGGCU
RNAcentral lists this long non-coding RNA (2678 nucleotides) under Pongo abelii (Sumatran orangutan). RNAcentral's name for it is "lincRNA". Lineage: Eukaryota; Metazoa; Chordata; Mammalia; Primates; Hominidae. The record is from RNAcentral.